Molecule: long non-coding RNA, 842 nt
Organism: Neodiprion virginianus
Lineage: Eukaryota; Metazoa; Arthropoda; Insecta; Hymenoptera; Diprionidae
Exons: 2
Source: RefSeq, a predicted model, not a curated record
AUUCAUUCGCAAUCAACACGGUGCUAGGAUCAAGUUGUUACAAUAAAAUACGAUAUUUAGAUACCAAAUGCGCAAGUUUCCCGUGACUAAAGAAAAAAAACCAAGCUUAUUCAAUACCGACUACUAAGUAUGACAAAAAGAACGAUGUUCAAAUUUAUUUCGUUUGAGAUACGGGUGAUCACAUACGUAAAAAUAAAUGCAACUAAUAUCAUAACUUGCAUUGGAAGACUAUUACUUGGAAUGUAACGGUGCUACGUAUAUUUCUCCAAAACGGACAAUCAGCCCAUCACCAGAACCCGUUGCCGUUCCAAUAACUCAUCAACGAUGCAUAUUUCUUCGAUGAUUAAUAAGGAAUUACAUAAAUUUCUAAUAAGUUCCUUGGGUUACCGCAAAAAUGCCACAAUUCCGGAUGAAACAGUAUCGACUUUGUCGAGAAUGCAUACUAUCAAACUCGAAAUUCUUAAUAAUCAACACGGGCACUGCCACAGAUCUAUAAUAAAGCGGACAGAUAUGGGUAAUUAUAAUCUGGGCCACUUGCUAAUAAAUUUAUGAACAAUCUUGUGUUUGUGGAUCAGCGGACAGAGUCCCAAUCUAACCAGUUAAUCUAAGUAGAAGUUGAACAAAGCAACCCUUAUCAUCUUUAAAUUAAUUUUUUAUUGCUUUUGUGAUAAUGGUUACCUGAGGUUAAUUGGGGUUUGUUACAGCAUGGGCUCGCACAUUAGUAACAAUAGAGUGUUACCUUAUUUCCAAAAAAUAUUUACAAGUAGUGUUUUUGUGUAGAAUGGUCUAGGUUUUCCGAUGCAAAUAAACUUCAUUUGAAAAAAAAACCACGGAAAUCCUAA